UACAUGCAAGUCGAGCGAGCGGAACCAACAGAUUUACUUCGGUAAUGACGUUNNGAAAGCGAGCGGCGGAUGGGUGAGUAACACGUGGGGAACCUGCCCCUAAGUCUGGGAUACCAUUUGGAAACAGGUGCUAAUACCGGAUAAUAAAGCAGAUCGCAUGAUCAGCUUUUGAAAGGCGGCGUAAGCUGUCGCUAAGGGAUGGCCCCGCGGUGCAUUAGCUAGUUGGUAAGGUAACGGCUUACCAAGGCGACGAUGCAUAGCCGAGUUGAGAGACUGAUCGGCCACAUUGGGACUGAGACACGGCCCAAACUCCCACGGGAGGCAGCAGUAGGGAAUCUUCCACAAUGGACGCAAGUCUGAUGGAGCAACGCCGCGUGAGUGAAGAAGGUUUUCGGAUCGUAAAGCUCUGUUGUUGGUGAAGAAGGAUAGAGGUAGUAACUGGCCUUUAUUUGACGGUAAUCAACCAGAAAGUCACGGCUAACUAC
Molecule: ribosomal RNA, 485 nt
Filed under: uncultured bacterium
Lineage: Bacteria
Description: bacterial SSU rRNA
Rfam family: Bacterial small subunit ribosomal RNA
Source: RNAcentral